Molecule: ribosomal RNA, 253 nt
Filed under: uncultured bacterium
Lineage: Bacteria
Description: partial 16S ribosomal RNA
Rfam family: Bacterial small subunit ribosomal RNA
Source: RNAcentral
UACGGAGGGGGCAAGCGUUAUUCGGAAUUAUUGGGCGUAAAGGGCGCGUAGGCGGCCUGGCAAGUGGAAGGUGAAAUCCCUCGGCUUAACCGAGGAACUGCCCUCCAAACUGCUUGGCUUGAGUCCGGGAGAGGUGAGUGGAAUUCCCAGUGUAGCGGUGAAAUGCGUAGAUAUUGGGAGGAACACCAGUGGCGAAGGCGGCUCACUGGACCGGAACUGACGCUGAGGUGCGAAAGCGUGGGGAGCAAACGGG